UAAAGAGAAAACGUCCUGAACUAUAACAUUUUCAAUUCCUGCAUAUUGGUUUCAUUUUUGCAAUUUUGCAAAAAUCUUUUCAAAAACAUGAAUACUGUUUCAGUCGUGAAAUGCCAAUCCUUCAUGUAAGCGAAAUAUGUUGGAAGCGGGAAUAUAAAGCAUGGCGGAUGCAAAUAUUUUAUUGGAUACAUCGUUGCGAUCAAAUACUUUAGCGAUUCAUUCACUUUUAGAAAAUGUCAAACAUUCUCAGAUUCUGCAGGACAAAGUAAGAAGUUCAGUUUUUGAAUUCUCCGAUCCGAGUUGACGUCAUCAAUUUUUCUUAGUUCACAAUCUACAAACCUUUGCCUUAAAAAUUCCAAAUGCGGGCAUCCCCCGACCGUCUCCCCUAGUAUAGUUGACAGAUCUGUAUACUAUAGUCGACAGAUCUGACAGCUUUUACUGUGAAAGUGGAGACUUUUGCAUAAUCUGCAUAUGCAGUGUUAACCCAUUAAGCGCCAGCGCUCUCCCCUUGACGAGUAAAAUCGUCUGGCUUUAGACAGAGUAAAAUACUAAAGUAGGGUGCAAUGCGACUCAAUGGGUUAACCAAAGUUUAGUAAAUGUGUGUAUUAUAUAUAGGCUAAUACAGAUCAAGCUAAUGACUCAGCAAAACUAUACCAUGCACCCCAUCCCCUACCCCCCAUUGAAGGAGGCCUACCACCUCUCCAACCUCGUACCCAGGACUAGCCGCGAGUUGAAGGCCCUUCAACUUGCAGCUAGCCCUGGGCACGAGGUUGCCACCUCCCCUACUAAUAUGAAUUUUAUUAUUUUUAUUUAAUUUGUUUUUAGUCCGCAGCAUGUGAGUGGAUUACAGCUUCAAACAAAUUACUUCAUUCACAUAAAGAUAGG
This is a non-coding RNA of Paramuricea clavata, 885 nucleotides long. The record is from the annotation of a GenBank genome assembly. Lineage: Eukaryota; Metazoa; Cnidaria; Anthozoa; Malacalcyonacea; Plexauridae.